AUUGAACGCUGGCGGCAGGCCUAACACAUGCAAGUCGAGCGAGCGGCGGACGGGUGAGUAAUGUCUGGGGAACUGCCCGAUAGAGGGGGAUAACUACUGGAAACGGUGGCUAAUACCGCAUACCAUCGGAUGAACCCAUAUGGGAUUAGCUAGUAGGUGGGGUAAAGGCUCACCUAGGCGACGAUCCCUAGCUGGUCUGAGAGGGUGAUCAGCCACACUGGAACUGAGACACGGCCCAGACUCCUACGGGAGGCAGCAGUGGGGAAUAUGCGACAAUGGACGAAAGUCUGACCGAGCAACGCCGCGUGAGUGAAGAAGGUUUUCGGGUUGUAAAGCUCUUUUGGUAGGGAAGCGGUAUCUACCCAGAAAGCCACGGCUAACUACGUGCCAGUAGCCGCGGUAAUUC
RNAcentral lists this ribosomal RNA (406 nucleotides) under uncultured bacterium. Its description in RNAcentral is "partial 16S ribosomal RNA". It matches the Rfam family "Bacterial small subunit ribosomal RNA", at positions 30 to 526 of the family's 1533-position model. The record is from RNAcentral.